Molecule: transfer RNA, 76 nt
Filed under: Desulfuromonas sp.
Lineage: Bacteria; Pseudomonadati; Thermodesulfobacteriota; Desulfuromonadia; Desulfuromonadales; Desulfuromonadaceae
Also listed under: 33 other names
Description: tRNA-Phe
Rfam family: tRNA
About the family: Transfer RNA (tRNA) molecules are approximately 80 nucleotides in length. Their secondary structure includes four short double-helical elements and three loops (D, anti-codon, and T loops).
Source: RNAcentral
GCCCAGGUAGCUCAGUCGGUAGAGCAGAGGACUGAAAAUCCUCGUGUCGGCAGUUCGAUUCUGUCCCUGGGCACCA